Long non-coding RNA from Columba livia (rock pigeon), 390 nucleotides. RefSeq lists it as uncharacterized. The transcript has 3 exons. Lineage: Eukaryota; Metazoa; Chordata; Aves; Columbiformes; Columbidae. The record is from RefSeq and is a predicted model, not a curated record.
CCGUCCAGACACAUAAACACAUAUCACUUCACACAUCGCUGAAGACAUUAUAUCUUACCAGGGUGGAAGUGCACCAGCAUGCAGCCAUUGCAACAAUGAUCUGAGAACAGGAUGUGACAGCUACCAAACCAAGCUGAAAUCUUAAAAUCUAGCUCAAAAUGGCUACUUACUCAUGAAAAAGCCACUACUGACCAGCACAAUUUCUACCAUCAGGAGUAUUUCUGAAGUAACUACCUCUGUUGGAAAAAAGUUCUUUGUUCCUUACCUCGUCAUCUUUAUACCAGGACAAGCUUUCUGCUGUUAAAACGAACCAGUAUUCCUUGGAUCCUCCUUUCAUGAUGCCAAUGUUGUUGAUGGUCAGCCAGCCUUUCCGGAUGACCUGUGCAGAGG